AGGACGAACGCUGGCGGCGUGCUUAACACAUGCAAGUCGAGCGGAAAGGCCCUUCGGGGUACUCGAGCGGCGAACGGGUGAGUGACACGUGAGUAACCUGCCCCAGACUUUGGGAUAACCCUCGGAAACGGGGGCUAAUACCGGAUACGACACUCUACCGCAUGGUGUGGGUGUGGAAAGUUUUUUCGGUUGGGAUGGGCUCGCGGCCUAUCAGCUUGUUGGUGGGUGAUGGCCUACCAAGGCGACGACGGGU
Molecule: ribosomal RNA, 253 nt
Filed under: uncultured soil bacterium
Lineage: Bacteria
Description: partial 16S ribosomal RNA
Rfam family: Bacterial small subunit ribosomal RNA
Source: RNAcentral